GACGAACGCUGGCGGCGUGCUUAACACAUGCAAGUCGAACGGAAAGGCCCUGCUUUUGUGGGGUGCUCGAGUGGCGAACGGGUGAGUAACACGUGAGUAACCUGCCCUUGACUUUGGGAUAACUUCAGGAAACUGGGGCUAAUACCGGAUAGGAGCUCCUGCUGCAUGGUGGGGGUUGGAAAGUUUCGGCGGCUGGGGAUGGACUCGCGGUUUAUCAGCUUGUUGGUGGGGUAGUGGCUUACCAAGGCUUUGACGGGUAGCCGGCCUGAGAGGGUGACCGGCCACAUUGGGACUGAGAUACGGCCCAGACUCCUACGGGAGGCAGCAGUGGGGAAUAUUGCACAAUGGGCGGAAGCCUGAUGCAGCAACGCCGCGUGCGGGAUGACGGCCUUCGGGUUGUAAACCGCUUUCGCCUGUGACGAAGCGUGAGUGACGGUAAUGGGUAAAGAAGCACCGGCUAACUACGUG
RNAcentral lists this ribosomal RNA (468 nucleotides) under uncultured bacterium. RNAcentral's name for it is "partial 16S ribosomal RNA". It matches the Rfam family "Bacterial small subunit ribosomal RNA", at positions 28 to 507 of the family's 1533-position model. The record is from RNAcentral.